RNAcentral lists this ribosomal RNA (500 nucleotides) under uncultured bacterium. Its description in RNAcentral is "partial 16S ribosomal RNA". It matches the Rfam family "Bacterial small subunit ribosomal RNA", at positions 30 to 523 of the family's 1533-position model. The record is from RNAcentral.
AUUGAACGCUGGCGGAAUGCUUUACACAUGCAAGUCGAACGGCAGCACAGACUUCGGUAUGGUGGCGAGUGGCGAACGGGUGAGUAAUGUAUCGGAACGUGCCCAGUCGUGGGGGAUAACGUAGUGAAAAUUACGCUAAUACCGCAUACGAUCUAUGGAUGAAAGCGGGUGAUCGCAAGACCUCGCGCGAUUGGAUCGGCCGAUAUCAGAUUAGGUAGUUGGUGGGGUAAAGGCCCACCAAGCCAACGAUCUGUAGCUGGUCUGAGAGGACGACCAGCCACACUGGAACUGAGACACGGUCCAGACUCCUACGGGAGGCAGCAGUGGGGAAUUUUGGACAAUGGGCGAAAGCCUGAUCCAGCCAUUCCGCGUGCAGGAUGAAGGCCCUCGGGUUGUAAACUGCUUUUAUACAGAACGAAAAGGUUUCUACUAAUACUAGGAGCUCAUGACGGUACUGUAAGAAUAAGCACCGGCUAACUACGUGCCAGCAGCCGCAGUAA